Molecule: long non-coding RNA, 763 nt
Organism: Onychostoma macrolepis
Lineage: Eukaryota; Metazoa; Chordata; Actinopteri; Cypriniformes; Cyprinidae
Exons: 3
Source: RefSeq, a predicted model, not a curated record
GAGAGCUUUGUAAAUCAAAUAUGAUGUGCGUGCAAAUGUCCCUUGAAUGUGCAUAUAAGUCUAAAUUUAAACAGUAUUAUAUUAUAUAGAGCGAUCGUGUCUCUUUAGGGCGCUUGGAGGAAACUAUGCAAUUCAUAUGGAUUACUUUGGCGAUUUUUUUUUUGCGAUGAACUUUUUGAAACGUGAACAUCUUCGAUUAAUCUUUUCAUCGGAGGGACAUAAAUCUCUCCGAUUUCAUUAAAAUAUCUCCGCUUUUCUUUCGAAGAUGAACGAAAGUCUUAGAUGGUUUGGAACAUCUUAAGGCUUCUGCAAGCCUGUAUGGCGUCUGACUUUUGGGACCUCACUGUGACUUCAGAUAAGAACAAAGAUUAAAUUGUAAGAAGGACUGCUUGUAAGAGCAUACAGUACAUCUGAAACUGCUGAGGCUGGGAAGGUUUUUGACAUCAUCGUCAUCCUCCCAUCACCAUCCCUUCACCACAUCCUGCCAUCAUCCCGCACCUUUGCCUCUCACCAUUCCUACACCAUCUCCUUGUCCACCUCCAAAACCCUCUCCAUCCCUCCCUAUUCUGUUGCUUGAACUUUAUCAUCUUCAGUCUUUGCACACACAUCUAUUCACUUCUGCACUUAGUUUUUCUGUAAAUUUUUGUUUUUUUUUUCUUCAGAAAAUUGCAUUGUAAUUUUUAUUUAUUCAUUUAUGUAAAAUUUUUAACUUUUCAGUAAUACAGGUAUAACUGAAAUGUUCUACAAAUGGAUAAGAUAGCUU